This 500-nucleotide ribosomal RNA is filed under the name uncultured bacterium. RNAcentral's name for it is "partial 16S ribosomal RNA". It matches the Rfam family "Bacterial small subunit ribosomal RNA", at positions 30 to 523 of the family's 1533-position model. The record is from RNAcentral.
AUUGAACGCUGGCGGCAUGCUUUACACAUGCAAGUCGAACGGUAACAGGGUGCUUGCACCGCUGACGAGUGGCGAACGGGUGAGUAAUGCGUCGGAACGUGCCGAGUAGUGGGGGACAACGCAGCGAAAGUCGUGCUAAUACCGCAUACGUACUGAGGUAGAAAGUGGGGGACCUUCGGGCCUCACGCUAUUCGAGCGGCCGACGUCUGAUUAGCUAGUAGGUGAGGUAAAGGCUCACCUAGGCGACGAUCAGUAGCGGGUCUGAGAGGAUGAUCCGCCACACUGGGACUGAGACACGGCCCAGACUCCUACGGGAGGCAGCAGUGGGGAAUUUUGGACAAUGGGCGAGAGCCUGAUCCAGCCAUGCCGCGUGUCUGAAGAAGGCCUUCGGGUUGUAAAGGACUUUUGUCAGGGAGGAAAUCCCUAGUGCUAAUAACACUGGGGGAUGACAGUACCUGAAGAAUAAGCACCGGCUAACUCUGUGCCAGCCGCCGCGGUAA